RNAcentral lists this ribosomal RNA (1540 nucleotides) under Micrococcus luteus. Its description in RNAcentral is "partial 23S ribosomal RNA". It matches the Rfam family "Bacterial large subunit ribosomal RNA", at positions 1 to 1657 of the family's 2925-position model. Lineage: Bacteria; Bacillati; Actinomycetota; Actinomycetes; Micrococcales; Micrococcaceae. The record is from RNAcentral.
GUGAAAGUUUCCAAGGGCGCAUGGUGGAUGCCUUGGCAACAGGAGCCGAAGAAGGACGUGGGAAUCUGCGAUAAGCCUGGUGGAGUCGAUAACCGGACGUUGAGACCAGGAUUUCCGAAUGGGGAAACCCCGCACGACGUGUCGUGUGACCCCCGGUUGAACACAUAGACCGGGUGGAGGGAACGUGGGGAAGUGAAACAUCUCAGUACCCACAGGAAGAGAAAACAAAAGUGAUUCCGUUAGUAGUGGCGAGCGAACGCGGAUGGGGCUAAACCGUAUGUGUGUGAUACCCGGCAGGGGUUGCAUGUGCGGUGUUGUGGGCCCCUCCUUGUCAUGUCUGCCGGCAUGGCGCAGUGAGGUGCGGGCAUAUAGACGAACCAGUGUGGAUGCUGGACCGUAGAGGGUGAGAGUCCCGUAGUCGAAAUGUGUUCCGCCGCUGUUGGAGGGUUGCCCGAGUAGCACGGGGCCCGAGGAAUCCCGUGUGAAUCUGCCAGGACCACCUGGUAAGCCUGAAUACUACCUGUUGACCGAUAGCGGAUCAGUACCGUGAGGGAAUGGUGAAAAGUACCCCGGGAGGGGAGUGAAAUAGUACCUGAAACCAUGUGCCUACAAACCGUUGGAGCCUCCUUGUGGGGUGACAGCGUGCCUUUUGAAGAAUGAGCCUGCGAGUUAGUGAUACGUGGCGAGGUUAACCCGUGUGGGGAAGCCGUAGCGAAAGCGAGUCUGAAUAGGGCGAUUGAGUCGCGUGUCCUAGACCCGAAGCGGAGUGAUCUACCCAUGGCCAGGUUGAAGCGCGUGUAAGAGCGCGUGGAGGACCGAACCCACUUCAGUUGAAAAUGGAGGGGAUGAGCUGUGGGUAGGGGUGAAAGGCCAAUCAAACUCCGUGAUAGCUGGUUCUCCCCGAAAUGCAUUUAGGUGCAGCGUCACGUGUUUCUUCCCGGAGGUAGAGCUACUGGAUGGACGAUGGGCCCUACAAGGUUACUGACUUCAGCCAAACUCCGAAUGCCGGGAAGUGAGAGCGUGGCAGUGAGACUGUGGGGGAUAAGCUUCAUAGUCGAGAGGGAAACAGCCCAGACCACCGGUUAAGGCCCCUAAGCGUGUGCUAAGUGGGAAAGGAUGUGGAGUUGCUGAGACAACCAGGAGGUUGGCUUAGAAGCAGCCACCCUUGAAAGAGUGCGUAAUAGCUCACUGGUCAAGUGAUUCCGCGCCGACAAUGUAGCGGGGCUCAAGUACACCGCCGAAACCGUGGCAUUCAGUUUUGCUGGAUGGGUAGGGGAGCGUCGUUCACGAGGUGAAGCCAGCGGGUAACUUCUGGUGGAUUGUGGACGAGUGAGAAUGCAGGCAUGAGUAGCGAAAGACGGGUGAGAAACCCGUCCGCCGGAUGACUAAGGGUUCCAGGGUCAAGCUAAUCUGCCCUGGGUAAGUCGGGACCUAAGGCGAGGCCGACAGGCGUAGUCGAUGGACAACGGGUUGAUAUUCCCGUACCAGUGAAGAACCGCCCAUGCUGAGCCGGUGAUACUAACCGCCCGAACCAUCCCGA